GACGAACGCUGGCGGCGUGCUUAACACAUGCAAGUCGAACGGAAAGGCCUCUUUCGGGGGGUACUCGAGUGGCGAACGGGUGAGUAACACGUGAGUAACCUGCCCUUGACUUUGGGAUAACUUCAGGAAACUGGGGCUAAUACCGGAUAGGAGCUCCUGCUGCAUGGUGGGGGUUGGAAAGUUUCGGCGGUUGGGGAUGGACUCGCGGCUUAUCAGCUUGUUGGUGGGGUAGUGGCUUACCAAGGCUUUGACGGGUAGCCGGCCUGAGAGGGUGACCGGCCACAUUGGGGCUGAGAGACGGCCCAGACUCCUACGGGAGGCAGCAGUGGGGAAUAUUGCACAAUGGGUGGAAGCCUGAUGCAGCAACGCCGUGUGCGGGAUGACGGCCUUCGGGUUGUAAACCGCUUUCGCUCAUGACGAAGCUUUGUGUGACGGUAGUGGGUAAAGAAGCACCGGCUAACUACGUG
Molecule: ribosomal RNA, 467 nt
Filed under: uncultured bacterium
Lineage: Bacteria
Description: partial 16S ribosomal RNA
Rfam family: Bacterial small subunit ribosomal RNA
Source: RNAcentral